This 1489-nucleotide ribosomal RNA is filed under the name unidentified. RNAcentral's name for it is "bacterial SSU rRNA". It matches the Rfam family "Bacterial small subunit ribosomal RNA". The record is from RNAcentral.
CAGACGAACGCGGCGGCGUGCNUAAUACAUGCAAGUCGAGCGAGCUGAACCAACAGAUUCACUUCGGUGAUGACGUUGGGAACGCGAGCGGCGGAUGGGUGAGUAACAUGUGGGGAACUGCCCCAUAGUCUGGGAUACCACUUGGAAACAGGUGCUAAUACCGGAUAAGAAAGCAGAUCGCAUGAUCAGCUUAUAAAAGGCGGCGUAAGCUGUCGCUAUGGGAUGGCCCCGCGGUGCAUUAGCUAGUUGGUAGGGUAACGGCCUACCAAGGCAAUGAUGCAUAGCCGAGUUGAGAGACUGAUCGGCCACAUCGGGACUGAGACACGGCCCAAACUCCUACGGGAGGCAGCAGUAGGGAAUCUUCCACAAUGGACGAAAGUCUGAUGGAGCAACGCCGCGUGAGUGAAGAAGGUUUUCGGAUCGUAAAGCUCUGUUGUUGGUGAAGAAGGAUAGAGGUAGUAACUGGCCUUUAUUUGACGGUAAUCAACCAGAAAGUCACGGCUAACUACGUGCCAGCAGCCGCGGUAAUACGUAGGUGGCCAGCGUUGUCCGGAUUUAUUGGGCGUAAAGCGAGCGCAGGCGGAAGAAUAAGUCUGAUGUGAAAGCCCUCGGCUUAACCGAGGAACUGCAUCGGAAACUGUUUUUCUUGAGUGCAGAAGAGGAGAGUGGAACUCCAUGUGUAGCGGUGGAAUGCGUAGAUAUAUGGAAGAACACCAGUGGCGAAGGCGGCUCUCUGGUCUGCAACUGACGCUGAGGCUCGAAAGCAUGGGUAGCGAACAGGAUUAGAUACCCUGGUAGUCCAUGCCGUAAACGAUGAGUGCUAAGUGUUGGGAGGUUUCCGCCUCUCAGUGCUGCAGCUAACGCAUUAAGCACUCCGCCUGGGGAGUACGACCGCAAGGUUGAAACUCAAAGGAAUUGACGGGGGCCCGCACAAGCGGUGGAGCAUGUGGUUUAAUUCGAAGCAACGCGAAGAACCUUACCAGGUCUUGACAUCUAGUGCAAUCCGUAGAGAUACGGAGUUCCCUUCGGGGACACUAAGACAGGUGGUGCAUGGCUGUCGUCAGCUCGUGUCGUGAGAUGUUGGGGUUAAGUCCCGCAACGAGCGCAAACCCUUGUCAUUUAGUUUGCCAGCAUUUAAGUUUGGGCCACUCUAAUGAGACUGCCCGGGUGACAAACCCGAAGGAGGGUGGGGGGAUGACCGUCAAGUCAUUCAAUGCCCCUUUAUUGACCUGGGCUACCACACGUUGCUAACAAUGGACAGUAACAACGAGGGAGCAAGCCUGCGAAAGGCAAGCGAAUCUCUAAAAGCUGUUCUCAGUUCGGACUGCAGUCUGCAACUCGACUGCACGAAGCUGGAAUCGCUAGUAAUCGCGGAUCAGCACGCGCGCGUGGUAAUACACUUUCCCGGGCCCUUGUANACACCCGCCCGUCACACCAUGGGAGUCUGCAUGCCCAAGCCNGUNNCUACCUUUCGGANNNCGUCUANGCA